UUGUUUUGGCAGAUUAGUGCAAUUGAUUUAGAAUCUUUAGAUGUAGACUUUUACAAAUAACAU
Molecule: transfer RNA, 63 nt
Filed under: Anthrenus sp. BMNH 840208
Lineage: Eukaryota; Metazoa; Arthropoda; Insecta; Coleoptera; Dermestidae
Description: tRNA-Leu
Source: RNAcentral